Molecule: unclassified non-coding RNA, 258 nt
Filed under: Cytospora rhizophorae
Lineage: Eukaryota; Fungi; Ascomycota; Sordariomycetes; Diaporthales; Cytosporaceae
Description: partial contains 5.8S ribosomal RNA, internal transcribed spacer 2, and large subunit ribosomal RNA
Source: RNAcentral
CGCACAUUGCGCCCUCUGGUAUUCCAGAGGGCAUGCCUGUUCGAGCGUCAUUUCAACCCUCAAGCCUAGCUUGGUGUUGGGGCAUUGCCUGACUGUUUUACAGGAGGGCAAGCCCUGAAAUUCAGUGGCGAGCUCGCCAGGACUCCGAGCGCAGUAGUAAAACCCUCGCUCUGGAUCGUACUGGCGCGGCCCUGCCGUAAAACCCCCAACUUCUGAAAAUUUGACCUCGGAUCAGGUAGGAAUACCCGCUGAACUUAA